This 333-nucleotide ribosomal RNA is filed under the name uncultured eukaryote. RNAcentral's name for it is "partial 18S ribosomal RNA". It matches the Rfam family "Eukaryotic small subunit ribosomal RNA", at positions 1470 to 1796 of the family's 1831-position model. The record is from RNAcentral.
CCCUUAGAUGUUCUGGGCCGCACGCGCGCUACAAUGAUGAAUUCAACGAGUUUAUAACCUUGGUUGAAAAGCCUGGGUAAUCUUUUGAACUUUCGUCGUGAUGGGGCUAGACCCUUGCAAUUAUUGGUCUCCAACGAGGAAUUCCUAGUAAACGCAAGUCAUCAGCUUGCAUUGAUUACGUCCCUGCCCUUUGUACACACCGCCCGUCGCUACUACCGAUUGAACGGUUUAGUGAGGGCCUCGGAUUGGUCUCGGCCCGCUCUUUACCGGGCGGCGCCGUUGGUCGAGAAGACGCUCGAACUCGAUCGUUUAGAGGAAGUAAAAGUCGUAACA